Molecule: ribosomal RNA, 253 nt
Filed under: uncultured bacterium
Lineage: Bacteria
Description: partial 16S ribosomal RNA
Rfam family: Bacterial small subunit ribosomal RNA
Source: RNAcentral
UACAGAGGGUGCGAGCGUUAAUCGGAAUUACUGGGCGUAAAGCGUGCGCAGGCGGUUCGUCGUGUCCGAUGUGAAAGCCCCGGGCUCAACCUGGGAAUGGCAUUGGAAACUGGCGGACUCGAGUGUGGCAGAGGGGGGUGGAAUUCCGCGUGUAGCAGUGAAAUGCGUAGAGAUGCGGAGGAACACCGAUGGCGAAGGCAGCCCCCUGGGCUAACACUGACGCUCAUGCACGAAAGCGUGGGGAGCAAACAGG